UGCCCCCUGGUGUAAUGGCAGCACAGCGGUCUUUGGAACCGUUGGUGGAGGUUCGAAUCCUCCGGGGGCAA
RNAcentral lists this transfer RNA (71 nucleotides) under Gemmatimonadota bacterium. Its description in RNAcentral is "tRNA-Gln". It matches the Rfam family "tRNA". From Rfam's summary of the family: Transfer RNA (tRNA) molecules are approximately 80 nucleotides in length. Their secondary structure includes four short double-helical elements and three loops (D, anti-codon, and T loops). Lineage: Bacteria; Pseudomonadati; Gemmatimonadota. The record is from RNAcentral.